UCGUGGAACGGACUUCGCGUCCAGUCACUUCGGAACUUGGGCAAGGAUAUCAAGCGAGUCUCUUUCGUUUCCGUCUAAUCGGUCAAUACUUGAAUUCAUUUGUAAAAUUUCGCGUCGGAUGCGUUUACGGCAAUACGCUGCGCGUGAAAUUUUUCUCGCGUACGCUUCUUUACUCUUUUACACGUUUUCGUGUUGUGGGAACUGAGCGUAAAUAACAGAGUGAAACAAUGUACGUAGAAAAACAAUCCGUGUUCGCGAAAGAAACAAAGAUCGAACGUGAUCUUGAGAAUAUUUGUGAACCAGGUUGUGAAGUAGCUGUGUAACUAACUCGUUGCAAACGGGAUAUUUCACGAUGAAAGGUGCACCAUCUUGAAGAGAAGCUUCCAAACAACGGCUCACUUUUCUCUUCGGGUUCUCUUCUUCGGGGGUAAUGCAUGCAAAACAGAAGCCACUUUAAGACAGGAGGGUGAUAAUCGAGAAUGGUGCAGAACUUCUAUCGUCUGGCAGUCGAUAAUGAAAGUUUAAAGUCACGUUGAACCAGGAUUGUAAUUAACGAACGACCACAAACAAACACUGUUAGGAUUUCCACUCGAUGCUCUCUCAUCAAUCAUUUUUACACAAACGAGGUACCUCGAUGAUACUGCAACAGAACGGAUAUGAGAACUUGUUGAAGUUCAAGGACAAACAUGACUUCGACAUUGGAGAAAUACAUCAAUCGCAAAAAGGUUAAAAAAUGAAAAAUUAAAAUUAAGAUGUUUUAAAAAUAUUGACUUUAGAGUGGUAG
Molecule: long non-coding RNA, 784 nt
Organism: Frieseomelitta varia
Lineage: Eukaryota; Metazoa; Arthropoda; Insecta; Hymenoptera; Apidae
Exons: 4
Source: RefSeq, a predicted model, not a curated record